GACGAACGCUGGCGGCGUGCUUAACACAUGCAAGUCGAACGGAAAGGCCCUGCUUUUGUGGGGUGCUCGAGUGGCGAACGGGUGAGUAACAAGUGAGUAACCUGCCCUUGACUUUGGGCUAUCUUCAGGAAACUGGGGCUAAUACCGGAUAGGAGCUCCUGCUGCAUGGUGGGGGUUGGAAAGUUUCGGCGGUUGGGGAUGGACUCGCGGCUUAUCAGCUUGUUGGUGGGGUAGUGGCUUACCAAGGCUUUGACGGGUAGUCGGCCUGGGAGGGUGACCGGGCUCAUUGUGACUGAGUUGCUGCCCAGACUCCUACGGGGGCCGACAGUGGAGAAUAGUGCACAUUGGGCGGAACCCUGAUUCUGCAUCGCCGCUUGCGGGAUGUUGGCCUUCGGGUUGUAACCGGCUUUCGCCGGUAACGAAGCGUGAGUGACGGUAAUGGGUAAAAAAGCACCGGCGAGCUACGUU
This 468-nucleotide ribosomal RNA is filed under the name uncultured bacterium. RNAcentral's name for it is "partial 16S ribosomal RNA". It matches the Rfam family "Bacterial small subunit ribosomal RNA", at positions 28 to 507 of the family's 1533-position model. The record is from RNAcentral.